RNAcentral lists this transfer RNA (73 nucleotides) under Stegodyphus mimosarum. It matches the Rfam family "tRNA". From Rfam's summary of the family: Transfer RNA (tRNA) molecules are approximately 80 nucleotides in length. The record is from Rfam by way of RNAcentral. Lineage: Eukaryota; Metazoa; Arthropoda; Arachnida; Araneae; Eresidae.
UCCUUCGCGGUGUAAUGGUCAGCACACUCGACGCAUAACCGAAAGGUCCGUGGUUCAAUUCCCGGCGAGGGCA